GCGAGCGUUGUCCGGAUUUAUUGGGCGUAAAGAGCUUGUAGGCGGUUGGUUGCGUCAGAAGUGAAAACUCGGGGCUUAACUCCGAGCUUGCUUUUGAUACGGGGCUGACUUGAGGGAAGUAGGGGAGAAUGGGAAUUCCUGGUGAAGCGGUGGAAUGCGUAGAUAUCAGGAGGAACACCGGUGGCGAAGGCGGUUCUCUGGACUUUUCCUGACGCUGAGAAGCGAAAGCGUGGGGAGCAAACAGGCUUAGAUACCCUGGUAGUCCACGCUGUAAACGGUGGGUACUAGGUGUGGGGGACAUUCCACGUUCUCCGUGCCGUAGCUAACGCAUUAAGUACCCCGCCUGGGGAGUACGGCCGCAAGGCUAAAACUCAAAGGAAUUGACGGGGCCCCGCACAAGCGGCGGAGCAUGCGGAUUAAUUCGAUGCAACGCGAAGAACCUUACCUGGGUUUGACAUAUGCCGGAAGCAUUCAGACGAUGGGUGUGCCUUUUGGUCGGUUUACAGGUG
RNAcentral lists this ribosomal RNA (509 nucleotides) under uncultured bacterium. RNAcentral describes it as "bacterial SSU rRNA". It matches the Rfam family "Bacterial small subunit ribosomal RNA", at positions 534 to 1040 of the family's 1533-position model. The record is from RNAcentral.